GACGAACGCUGGCGGCGUGCUUAACACAUGCAAGUCGAACGGAAAGGCCCUGCUUUUGUGGGGUGCUCGAGUGGCGAACGGGUGAGUAACAAGUGAGUAACCUGCCUUUGACUUUGGGAUAACUUCAGGAAACUGGGGCUAAUACCGGAUAGGAGCUCCUGCUGCACGGUGGGGGUUGGAAAGUUUCGGCGGUCGGGGAUGGACUCGCGGCUUAUCAGCUCGUUGGUGGGGGAGUGGCUUACCAAGGCUCUGACGGGUAGCCGGCCUGAGAGGGGGACCAGCCACAUGGGGACUAAGGUACGGCCCAGACUCCUACGGGAGGCAGCAGUGGGGAAUAUUACACAGUGGGCGGAAGCCUGAUGCAGCGACGCCGCGUGCGGGAUGACGGCCUUCGGGUUGUAAACCGCUUUCGCCUGUGACGAAGCGUGAGUGACGGUAAUGGGUAAAGAAGCACCGGCUAACUACGUG
RNAcentral lists this ribosomal RNA (468 nucleotides) under uncultured bacterium. Its description in RNAcentral is "partial 16S ribosomal RNA". It matches the Rfam family "Bacterial small subunit ribosomal RNA", at positions 28 to 507 of the family's 1533-position model. The record is from RNAcentral.